This is an unclassified non-coding RNA of Octopus bimaculoides (California two-spot octopus), 337 nucleotides long. The record is from RefSeq and is a predicted model, not a curated record. Lineage: Eukaryota; Metazoa; Mollusca; Cephalopoda; Octopoda; Octopodidae.
AUGGCUAACAACCGAAAUAUUUUUUCUUUUGUUUAGAAUAACAAUAAUGGUGGUUAUAACGUUGGAGAUCGAACAGCCACUGCUGCGAGGAAGGCUUCAGAUCAAUAUCAAAUGAAAUACUUCCAAAGCAGUGCCGCAUCAGUUGGGAAUUCGAAACAGGGUCGAAGCAUCCUGAAGCUGGAAUGGACCAACCAACAUGGCUGCGGGAUCACUGAUGAUAAAAAUCCUUCCAAGAGACAAUGCAACAUAGUGUUACAGUACAUGUGUCAGAAAUUAAAAGUCGAUGAUCCCCGUGAUCAGCUAAGAGAUGGCACAAAUACGAAUGCGCAAAGCUACA